This 6385-nucleotide long non-coding RNA is filed under the name Triticum aestivum (bread wheat). RNAcentral describes it as "long non-coding RNA (TAES_LNC001654)". Lineage: Eukaryota; Viridiplantae; Streptophyta; Magnoliopsida; Poales; Poaceae. The record is from RNAcentral.
AUCCCAUGUACUGAAUAAGAUAGGGAUAAAGAGUUGGCUUACAAUCACCACUUCACACAAAUAACAAGUUAAACAUACAUCAUCCAGAGUACAGUCAAAGGUCCGACUACGGAACCAAAAUAAAAGAAGACUACCCCAAAUGCUAGAUCACCGAUCGUCCCAACUGGGCUCCACUACUGAUCAACCAGAAAAGAUACAAAACAAUGAUCAAGAUCUUCAUCGAGCUCCCACUUGAGCUCAGUUGCGCCACCUGCACUGGUAUCAUCGGCACCUGCAACUGUUUGGAAGUAUCUAUGAGUCACGAGGACUCAGCAAUCUCACACCCGCGAGAUCAAGACUAUUUAAGCUUAUGGGUAGGAAAGGGGUAAUGGGGUGGAGCUGCAGCAAGCACUAAGCAUAUAUGGUGGCUAACAUACGCAAAUAAGAGCGAGAAGAGAAGCAACGCAACGGUCGAGAAGCUAGAAGUGAUCCUGAAACUACUUACGUUCAAGCAUAACACAAGACCGUGUUCACUUCUUGGACUCCACCGAAAAGAGACCAUCAUGUCUACACACGCGGUUGAUGCAUUUUAAUUAAGUUAAGUGUAAAGUUCUCUACAACCGGACAUUAAAAAAUUCCCAUAUGCCACAUAACUACGGGCACGGCUCUCGAAAGUGUAUACCCUGCAGGGGUGUCCCAACUUAGCCCAUCACAAGCUCUCACGGUCAACGAAGGAUAUUCCUUAUCCUAGGAAGACCCAAAUCAGUCUCGGAAUCCCGGUUACAAAACAUUUCGACAAUGGUAAAACAAGACCAGGAAAGCCGCCCGAUGUGCCGACAAUCCCGAUAGGAGCUGCGCAUAUCUCGUUCUCAGGGCACACCGGAUGGGCAAGAUGUCGGGUUGGCAUAGACCCUGGUUGCCCAGGGGGCACCGGACAUCGCCUAGUUCGGACCAACACUUAGACAAGCACUGGCCCAGGGGGGUUAAAAAUAAAGAUGACCCUCGGGUUGGCCCACCCAAGGGAAAGGUAAUAGGUUGUUAGGCAAAUGUAAAACCAAGGUUGGGACUUGCUGGAGGAGUUUUAUUCAAGGCGAACUAUCCAGGGGUUCCCAUAACACCAGUAUGACGGAAACUAAGGCGGCAAGAGUGGAACAAAACACCAAGCAUAAGGCCGAGACUUCCACCCUUUACCAAGUAUAUAGAUGCAUUAAUUAAAUAGGAGAUAUUGUGAUAUCCCAACAUAACCAUGUUCCAACAUGGAACAAACUUCAACUUUACCUGCAACUAGCAAUGCUAUAAGAGGGGCUGAGCAAAAGCGGUAACAUAGCCAAACAACGGUUUGCUAGGAAGGCGGGUUAGAGGCUUGACAUGGUAACAUGGGAGGCAUGAUAAACAAGUGGUAGGUAGCGCGACAUAGCGAUAGAGCGGGCAACUAGCAAGCAAAGAUAGAAGUGAUUUCGAGGGUAUGGUCAUCUUGUCUGAAAUCCCGCAAGGAAGAAGAACGAGUCCAAGAAGUAGACGAACGGACGUAGUCGAACGAAUCCUCACAACUCCGGACCGAAACCGGAGCUAACGGGAUAAGCAACCCGGAAAGAAGCAAGCAACAUAGUAAACAACCGUCACAUAAACAUGGCAUGAAGCACAACCAAGUAUGAUGCAUGUCCAUUUUAAAGAGGCAUGGCAUGGCAAUAUGCACAAACAAUAGUAUAAAUUAAGUGGAGCUCAAAAUGCAACGAGUUGCAUAUUGACGAAACACCACAUUCAAUCAUUUAGUUCACUCUCGUUUAUGUACCCAACAAUAUUAAAUGUUUUUAAACAUGGCACGAGGUGAAUCAUAAGUAAACUACGCAGUUUAGGCAAUUUAAAUGAGGCCGGAAACAUCAAACAACAAUUCCGGAAAAUCCCCAUGUGCAUAUUUAAAGUUGGUACUGUUCUGCCCUAUACAUAAUUUUAGAGUUGUCAAACAUGCAAAGUAAAGCCAUCAUGUUAAACUAGACAUUUUUCUACCGCAUUUACAUAUAAAGUUUAUUAAAUUUGGAGCUACGGUUAUUUAGUUAUGAAUUAAAUCAUUUUAACAUGGCAAUAUGGCAAAUUAUAUGCAAACAUCAUUUUAAACAUUUUAAACAUGCAUGAAAGUUGGAUAUUACGAAAUUAGACAAAUUCUAAGCAUUUUACAUAUAUAAAUCAUUUAUAUGAUGCACGGUUGAAGAGUUAUUAAAUGCAUGAACUCUAGGGACUUUUUGUAAAACGGUGUUCUUUGUAUAAAUCGUAAAAUCGACCAGAGGGAAAAAACAGGCACUAGGCCUAAUCUGCUAGGCGCUGGGCUGAGGUUCUCUCACCAUGGGCCAAGCCUAGUCGGAGGGGAAGCAGGCCAGUUACUGGGCCUUGGAGGCUGAGCGAGGCCCACCAGGGCGAUAGGGCGGCCUGGACAUCGUCCUCGUCUCGCGCCCGCACGAGCAGAGGACCAUGGCGGCGGCGCGGCAACGGUCUGGCGACAGCGGGGUCCAGUGGCGCUAUCGAGGCCAGGAACGGGUUGCUGGGCAGCGGAUCCGGCCUCGGGGCGCCAGAUCUGGUCCGCGGCGAGGCAAGACGGCAGGGAGGCACGGAUCUCCACCGGCGACGAUGACCUGCGCGGGAGAGAGAGGAUGAGGCAGUGAGGGGAGGGGUAGGUCAGAGAGGAGGAAGAGGGCGACGGGGCUCCUGCUUGGGGUUCGCCGGCAAGGGUACUCCGACGGUCGGCGGGAUGGAGGCGAGAAGCAAGGCGACGCGGUCAGGCGGCUGGAGGAGGCGAGCUCCCUGGCGCGGGUGCUCGGGCAGUGGCGGUGGAGCGCUUGGGCCCUGAUGGGCUUCCCAGGGCCCGAUCCGGGUCCUGGCGGGCCUGCGGGAGAAGUGGGGGUGGAGGCGCUAGGUGGGAGCAGCAGUGGCUGGAGGGGCGCGGGCGCAGCGAGGUGGCGCGCUGCGGUUGGUGGGAAGCGGCGGCGCAGGUGGCGGCUGUGGAAGGAGGCAGCGACACUUGGCGGCGGUGGGCUGGGCGGCGCGGAAAACAAGGCCGGUGGUGCUGAUUUCGAGGGAGAUGCGGCGGCUAAGGGUAGGGGAAGGCUAGGGGUACCCAAAAUGGCAUGGAGGGGGUCUAUAUAAGGCAAGGGGGUAGGGUUAGGGGGUUUGAGGCCGUUUCGGACCCGUUCGAUCGCCAUCGGAUGGUCCGGAGCAGAGGGGGUAGGUAGGUGGGCUAAAUGGACUAUGUAGAGGGGGGUUGUACUGAAAAGAGAGGGAAGAACAGAGGCCCGACAACAGUUUCUGAACACCGAAAACGUCCGACGUCUGACCGGCUAUAAUGCCGCUAUAUGUUUAUCCGUUGGGGCAUCAAACGAACUCCGAAUGCGAUGAAAUUUGACAAGCGGUCUACCUACACUAUAAUAAGGCCGCACGCCAACCUUCAACCCAUUCCGAGAACAUUUUUUCCACUUAUAAAAUAAUAUUUCGAACAUGCCGCGGGCGCGUGCGAGUGUGGUUUGGCUCAAAACAGACAACGGAGAGAACUGGGAGACCCGGACGGAUGCAAGUUUUGAAAACAUGAUGAUGCAAUGAGGAUGAUGACAUGGCAAGAUGCAACACGCAAGCGAAUGACAAGGCAACAACAAGGAAUAGUUGGAAGACACCUGGAGCAUCAGUCUCGGGGAGUCACACUACGCUUCUGGCAGCCUCCAUCUUGAAGCAUAUAGAAGAGAGUAGAUGGUAAGUUCACCAAGUAGCAUCGUAUAGCAUAAUCCUACCCGGCGAUUCUCCCCUUGUCGCCCUGUGAGAGAGCGGUCACCGGGUUGUAGCUGGCACUUGAAAGGGUGUGUUUUAUUAAGUAUCCGGUUCUAGUUGUCAUAAGGUGAAGGUACAACUCUGGGUCGUCCUUUUACCGAGGGACACGGCUAUUCGAAUUGAUAAACUUCCCUGCAGGGGUGCACCAAAUUUUCCAACAUGCUCGAUCCCCUUUGGCCGGACACACAUUCCUGGGUCAUGCCCAGCCUCGGAAGAUCAACACGUCGCAGCAACACCUAGGCGCAACAGAGAGGUCAGCACGCCGGUCUAAAUCCUAUGUGUGCAAGGGUCUGGGCCCAUCGCCCAUUGCACACCUACACAUUGCAUAUGUGGCCGGUAAGUAGAGCUAGCAACCUCCAUUACAAAGGAAGUUGUGUUACGCGGUCCAACCCGGCACGCGUCGCUCAGCCGCUGACGUCAAGAAGGCUUCGGCUGAUACCACGACGUCGAGUGCCCAUAACUGUUCCCGCGUAGUUGGUUUGUGCGUAUAGGCCAAUGGCCAAACUUAGAUUAAAUAUCGAGAUCUCGUUAAGUGUGUUAUUUGAUGUAACCGCGGACGCCGACCAGGGCCAGGCCCACCUCUCUCCUAGGUAGUCUCAACCUUCCCUGUCGCUCCGCCUCAAAUUAACAGUCGGGGGCCAUCGGGAACUCAGUCCCACCACUACCGGGGUGGAACCACCUGUCCUUUCAGCCCCCACAUCGGAAUCACUUGUGGGUACUCUACGAGCUGAGCCGACUUUAGUCACCACCAUGUAUCAUGUAUAAUAGUGUAAUAUGUAUAUACCCGUGAUCACCUCCCGAAGUGACCACGACCCGAUAAUAUAGCAUAGCAGACAGACAAGAAUGUAGGGCCACUGAUGGAAUACUAGCAUCCUAUACUAAGCAUUUAGAAUUGCAGGUAAGGGUAAUAGUUGUAGCAACAAUGACAGGCUAUGCAGUAGAAUAGGAUUAACCGAAAGCAGUAACAUGCUACACUACUCUAAUGCAAGCAGUAGAGAGAGGGAAUAGGCGAUAUCGGGUUGAUCAAGGGGGGGCUUUGCCUGAAUGCUCUGGCAAGCAGGGGUUGUCGUCGAUGUAGUCAAUCACAAGGGUAUCGGCAGCAGUCUCGGGGUCUACCGGAAAGAAGUAACGGAGGGGGAACACAAUAAAUAACAAAGAAAUCAAAGCAUCACAAAGCAUAACAUGACAAUACACGGUGCUAGGCGUGCCCUAACGCGACAGUAGGUGAUAUCGGCAAAGGAGGGAACAUCCGGGAAAGUAUUCCCGGUGUUUGACGUUUUCGGGCAGAUGAAACGGAGGUGGAUUGUUGCAUGUUCGCUAUGCUAGGAAUGCGUAGCGGACGAACGAACUGUGUAUUCGGAUUUGUCUCGUCGUUCGGAGCAACUUUCAUGUACAAAGUAUUAUCAUCCGAGUUAUGGAUUAUUUUAUAUUAAUUUUUCAGAGGUUUACUGAUUUUUUUGGACUUCUCAUAUACCUAAAUUCGAAAUUAGACAGUGUACUACUUUUUAUACUCUCGGACAGCUAGCCUAUUAGAAUGACAGGCGGGUCCAGUGGUUGUGUCAGCAUGCACAGUCAGCAAGUCAACAGUCAAAGGUUGACCUGGUCAAAGUGUGAAUAGUACCCCUCAAAAAAAAAGUGUGAAUAGUUGUCGUGGGGUUUACUUGUCAUUGACUGAUAUUUUAUCUAAAGUCUUAAACAGGUUUAGAUAUCAGGGGACCAUGUGUCAAAGACUAGGUUUAACUAAAAUGUUAUUUAUCUGAGUGGGGCCUAGAAGUCAGCGUUAAUUGUAUCAGCUAAUUAGAUUAACUCCUAAUCUAAACAAGGGCCGACCCUAUCAGCCAGGGACACAACCGGCCUCUUGGCUGGCCUCGCACGGGCACAAGGUACCGGUGGCCAGUGCCAGAGGCACACACCGGAGCAGCGAGAGGGCGUUGGAGGGAAGGCGCAAGGCGAAGCGGGAGACAGCUGGGCGAGGGCUGGGUAGCGGCGGCCAGCGGCGACGCGGGAGCCAGAGUAGCAGUGGGUCGCGGCGGCGCAAGGCAUUGCAGCGGCGAGUUCAGCCGGCGCGGCAGCAGCGCAAUACAGCAGGCAGGGCAGCAUGAGCGCAAGCGCGGCAGCGGGCGGAGCCGUAAGAAGCAGCAGGCAGGCAGCAACAGGCAGGGCGCGUGGGCGGCUGCGGGGGUGAGCCACGACCGGCCGGACGCGGGCUGGUUAGCAGUGGUGAGGGAGCGCGGCCACGGGCAGUGAGAUGCGGGCGUUCGGCUACGGCGGAAUCGGCACGGAUCGGAACCAGGAUCGAGGGGAAUCGGUCGAGGUGCUCACCAUGGUUCCAACGGAGGCGACGGGGAGGUUGGAGGUGGACCGGAGAUGACGCAAUCGAUGACGGCGGCCGGCAAUGUACGUGGUGAGGAUGAGCUCAAUGAUGAAUGUACGAGGCCGCUUCGCUUGAUUUGUUGCUCAGGAUCGACGAAGUAAUCAGCGGUGAUCUUCCUGGUCAGCUCGGAACGGCGAGAGGAAGCUGUUGGUCGCACGAUUUACGGUGAGGCCGCCAUGGCGGCGCUCGGACGAGUGAGACAGAGAGGAAGGGAUGUGAGCG